RNAcentral lists this non-coding RNA (24 nucleotides) under Arabidopsis thaliana (thale cress). Lineage: Eukaryota; Viridiplantae; Streptophyta; Magnoliopsida; Brassicales; Brassicaceae. The record is from RNAcentral.
ACGAGGACGACGAGGACAGUGUGG